AAUUAAUUUAAAGUAGAAUUAAAUAAUUAAAAUUGGCAUUAAAUAUAUAAUUUAUGAAUUAAAUGUCAAUUUAUAUAAUGUAAUGUUAAAUAUUUCUUUCGCAAUUCAAUUAAUUAUUUAAUUAAUUAAUUUAAUUAUUUCAUGUUACGUGUGUUUCAGCACAUCAUUAAUUAAAUUAAUCUGUCAAUCUCACCCAUCAAAGUCAGUGGGCGGAACCACUGACGUAAACGGGCGGGACUAGUGCCAAUCUGGUGUUAUCGACUGCUUUGGUCUGAAGCCUAACACCUCCUACAUGACAUGAAUGGAUCAAGGAGGAAAGCUGCUUCUAUUCGAAAUAUGAUGAAAAAGGCGUUGUGAGUGAUUGGGACUGUAGCACUGUCAACAUUUCAAGUGAAAGGCUUAGAGUUUUAUCUUUAGGAAAAUGUAUUCGUGAAAUUAGCUUCUUGGCCAUGACGUUUUAAAAGGAGUGGAUGCAUGUUGUCGAGAUACGUUGAGGAUGACAGCUGCCUCCAAGUUCUACUUGGCUUCCUCGUUGAGGAUGACAGCUGCCUCCAAGUUCUUCUUGGCUUCCUCGCGGCCUAUCCACUAGGGCUCCGGGAACCAAAUCUCCUUCAUCAUCGUUUGACACACUUUCUCACAGAAAUAAAAAGGGGAUACUGUGACCAAACCGGCCUACUGAUGUCCAUACAGUAGCCCUACACAAGACCAUGUCUGUCACAUUGGUGCCAUGACCGAGUUGGACCUUCGCCCAACCGGGAUCAUUCUGGACAUCAUCUGCGUUGUGAUAAUCAUCAAAGCCUGACUGCCCACAACACCUGGAUCAGAGAGCCAGUCCAAUGAAAUCUGUCAAGAAAACCGCAGAUAAACAAGGCCUGUAUCAUCAUUGUAGUCUAGUACUACACUUUUAUUAUACACGAAGACAGAACAUGAGAUGCUUGUAUCAUUGCAAAAAAAAAAAAAAAACUAACUAUACAAUCAGUCAUGCACUCUCAGACGCACUCACUUACUAUACAACUCACCACACACGUUAUCCAUUACAAUGUGUUCAUUCAGCUCUAACAUACCCACAUUUUUAAUUGAAAAAACCCUCAAAUCUCAAGAACCUGAAUGCAGCGUAAAUGUGUCUCCUGGCUACAAUGGGUUAAAGCGCUGGAGGCCAGAAGGAAAGUAGAGUGAUUACACUCAUUCUCAAACUGGACGCAAUGUGGACAGUAUUCCAAGUGUGCCUUUAAAUAAUAUUGGUUUGUGGGUUUUGUGUUGUUUAUUGGGUCAGAGGUGGGCCCCAAGGUUCAAUUACACCAUUAGGUGUAAGUGAUCACCAUUCUUUGUUACACCAUGAUUUUCCUAAAUGUAUGUAUAUUCCAGUUCAGUCUUGUUUAUAUAAUUCUGCACAACUUGGUUCAUCUUUCUUCCCAUGUUUAACUGCAGUCAACCUGCCAUCCAAGCCGAGGCCAAACACAUCAUAGCACUGAGGUGGUCAACCAAGGUUGCAGAUAGGGAUGACUUCCACGACGUGUCCACCAAGACCAGAGGAGGCUGCUGCGGACAGCUUCCCUGCGAGAAACCUUGCUACGCCCAGUAUAGGCACACAACUCUAAUUUCACUGCAUGUUUUAGUAUUUCUAUGCAUGCAACCUAUAAAUCCUUUAAAUCUUGCAAUUGAUGUAGACUUGUAAGCCAUCUUUAAGCAACUAAUACGUUAUUCUAACCUCUUCACAUUGAUACACAUUUUGUGCACUUCAGAUUAAUUUCCUGUAUUUUGUUCUUGCUCUUUCCCUGCAGAAACACAAUUGAACAGAUUUAAUAAAUGUUCGUCUUUGUCAAUAAUUGUAUCUUCUUUUCAGCAUGAACUGAGCCAAGUUAACUUUCUAGUCAAAGUAUCUAUUGGAGGCAUAAAUAACAAGAGGAAGACUAGCCAUCAAUAAUUACAGUAUUUACAAGCAGUGAAAGAGGCACGGACUAUCCAAAUAUUUGUUACAGUGAAGAAGUUGUGAUGCUGUACGUGUUUACUCCAUCUACAGGCUGCUAUAGACUUAGUUUUCCACAAAGAAGCCUAGAGUCGAGACCUUUGUUCAAUCUUCUGACAUGCUCUUACUCUUGACAAAUGGGUACUAUAUCAGCUUUAUUACUUUAUUGAAUCCUAAAAUUGUCCAGCACGUAUGAAUUGGACGUUGUAUCUUGGAGUAAAUAAGCUACUAUCCAGAUUUAAAGAUCAAGGUGAGCUGAAAGAAUGUUUUCAUCCCUGCGCAAGAGGCCAGGAAGGUUUGUCAAAGGUUGGAGUAAGUCUCUUUUUUUUCGCGACUAAUCGUGACUAGAUAUAUCGAUCAGUCCAGUGUUUCUCAACAGGGGUGCUGCGGAAAAGUGGCUGAUAAAUAAAUUAUGUAAUAUAAGAUAUAUUUGUCUAAAUUGAUAAGUUAAUGCUAGUCAGUGGAAUCUUUCAUCUGCCAUUUACGCACAAUAAAGUAAAUUUAUGUCACCCCAGUAAGCUGCAACUUCAAACGUAGGUAGUGUGACCAAAUGUGUUACUUUUCUAAGCUUGUGUGGUAUCGGAUGCGAUGCCAUGUUACGGCUUGUUGGUUUGGGGUGCCUUGAAAUUUUUCAUGAAUUGGAAGGGUGCCUCGCCUAAACAAAGGCUG
Engraulis encrasicolus (European anchovy) is the source of this 2635-nucleotide long non-coding RNA. RefSeq lists it as uncharacterized. NCBI's taxonomy places the organism in Eukaryota, Metazoa, Chordata, Actinopteri, Clupeiformes, Engraulidae. The record is from RefSeq and is a predicted model, not a curated record. The transcript has 3 exons.